This 63-nucleotide ribosomal RNA is filed under the name uncultured organism. RNAcentral describes it as "partial 16S ribosomal RNA". The record is from RNAcentral.
UGGGCUCGAACGACUGGUGGUACCUUAUUUGAAAGCAUGAGGGACCCGCAAGGGAGCCAGCCG